Non-coding RNA from Mycena latifolia, 93 nucleotides. The record is from the annotation of a GenBank genome assembly. Lineage: Eukaryota; Fungi; Basidiomycota; Agaricomycetes; Agaricales; Mycenaceae.
GACCUGAUAGCAUAAUGGUUAUGCAUCUGCUCUAAAUGUCUUGUCCUUUAAUGGCUCAGCAGGAGGUUCCCCGUUCGACUCGGGGUCAGGUUA